GCGCAAAGGGUCGAGAUGUCAGAGAAAAAGCAACCCGUAGACUUAGGUCUCUUAGAGGAAGAUGAUGAGUUUGAAGAGUUCCCGGCGAAGACUGGGCUGUGGGCUGGCUUAGAUGAAGAUGAAGAUGAAGAUGCACAUGUCUGGGAGGAUAAUUGGGAUGAUGACAAUGUAGAGGAUGAUUUCUCUAAUCAGUUACGAGCUGAACUAGAGAAACAUGGUUAUAAGAUGGAGACUUCAUAGCAUCCAGAAGAAGUGUUGAAGUACCCUAAACCUGACCUGCUUAAUAAGUUCUAGGACAGAGAACCCAGGAUGGGACACUAAAAAAAUGUGUUUAUUUCAUUAUCUGCUUGGAUUUAUUUGUGUUUUUGUAACACAAAAAAUAAAUGUUUUGAUAUUAAAAAAAAA
Molecule: RNA transcript, 405 nt
Organism: Rhinopithecus roxellana (golden snub-nosed monkey)
Lineage: Eukaryota; Metazoa; Chordata; Mammalia; Primates; Cercopithecidae
Gene name: 26S proteasome complex subunit SEM1 pseudogene
Exons: 1
Source: RefSeq, a predicted model, not a curated record